Non-coding RNA from Dipodomys ordii (Ord's kangaroo rat), 70 nucleotides. The record is from Rfam. Lineage: Eukaryota; Metazoa; Chordata; Mammalia; Rodentia; Heteromyidae.
GGGAAUGUGGCUUAGUGGUAGAGUGCUUGCCUAACAUGCAUGAAGCCCUGGGUUCGAUUCCUCAGUACCA